UGGGGAAUAUUGGACACUGGGCGCAAGCCUGAUCCAGCAAUGCCGCGUGAGUGAGGAAGGCCUUAGGGUUGUAAAGCUCUUUCACCCGCGACGAUGAUGACGGUAGCGGGAGAAGAAGCCCCGGCUAACUUCGUGCCAGCAGCCGCGGUAAUACGAAGGGGGCGAGCGUUGUUCGGAUUUACUGGGCGUAAAGGGCGCGCAGGCGGCUUCUCAAGUCAGGCGUGAAAGCCCCGGGCUUAACCUGGGAACUGCGUCUGGGACUGAGCGGCUAGAGUUCGGGAGAGGAGAGUGGAAUUCCCAGUGUAGAGGUGAAAUUCGUAGAUAUUGGGAAGAACACCGGUGGCGAAGGCGGCUCUCUGGACCGAGACUGACGCUGAGGCGCGAAAGCGUGGGGAGCAAACAGG
This 404-nucleotide ribosomal RNA is filed under the name bacterium. Its description in RNAcentral is "partial 16S ribosomal RNA". It matches the Rfam family "Bacterial small subunit ribosomal RNA", at positions 355 to 776 of the family's 1533-position model. The record is from RNAcentral.